UAGUCGGUAAAAGAAGUACUUUUUAGUGACAACAAAAUAUAGUCCAGAAAGAGAAAAACUAGACUUUUCAAUUCAAGUUGUGUGCCCUCCAAUUCGCUUUAGCUUCCCUCCAAUUAUUUUUAAUGUGCCCUCCAAUUCUCUUUAGCUUCCCUCCAAUUAUUUUUAGUCUCUAAAUUCCCCUAAUUCAAAUCUGAAGCCUACGAUCUCUCUCUCAGUGUCUCUCUCUCUCCAUUUCUCUUCCUCUGAUCGGUGAGUGUCUCUUCAAUUCAACUUAGUUAUUCUUUGAUCUACUUCUCGGUUUUCCUAAAACUGUACUUACGAUUCAGCUAGCAUUUUAGUUGAGUUUAGUGUAAUAUCAAUCAGAUCUCGAUCUUAUAUAUGUUUAUACUUUAUACUGUUAGUGUAUAUAAUGUCUUUGCUCGUUGUUUUAAUUUCGAUUUUUGUAUUAGAUUUGGUGUUUUUACUCUACAAUCCGAAGUUGUUCUAGGCUUUGUAUUUCAACUCUCGGUAAUCUCCAUAGCUUCUAUUCACACAGAACAUUCCCUUCACUAUUCACCAGCAGUAGUCGGGCUCGGACAAUAAAGUUUUGUGGGGGUGCUUAAAUCAGAGUAGAAGGUGCAUACAUUUGGCAGUUCAGGCAACUUCGGAUAGUAGCUUACAGCUUUGAUAUUAUUUUGUACAAGCUCGCUCUAUCUUUUCGGAAGAAAUUCUCAAUCCCAAUACGUGGAGAAGAGUUUAUAAAAAAAUCAAUAGGGAAGAAAUGGAAGGACUAUAAAUGUGAUCUGAAGACUAUGUUAUGUGACCAAAUAUAAGACCAAAGAUGCCUUGAUGAAAAAUAGACCAAGCCACAUACCAAAGGAUCAAUGGACUGGUCUUAUCUCCUAUUGGCUUUCCGAUAAAGCAAAUGUGAUACAGGGAUUCACAUACCUCCAAAUAUGUGAGAACUACUGGAUAGGUUAGACUGGUAGCUUGGGGUAUGAACUCAGUCAGUAAUGCCCUCUAUGCAAUGAUGCAGAUAUGGAUUUGUGAUUUGUAGAAGCCCGCUAUACCAGAAAAUGAGGCACGAGGUCCCCAGCUUCGGAAUGGUUAACAUACCACCACUCUUGCUAGACUGGUGGAGGUAUCUUCCAUCGGAUGACCAAACCAAUGAAUGGAAAGAAUGGGCUGUCAAGACUAGCGAAAAGCUAGAUUAUCUGGAAUACAGCGUGUUAGAAUUAGAAGGAAAAGUGAGGAAAAGAGUCAACGACUGGAGCGGUGAGGGAAACGAAGAAGGACAUCUGGCGAAGGCUUUCUUACUAAUGAGCCUAUGCGAGCUGGAGGAUUUGAUUAAUGAGAACAUUCAACCUGAGGAAGGUCCUUCUGGGACCAAAUAGGCUAGAUUUAU
This is a long non-coding RNA of Nicotiana attenuata, 1384 nucleotides long. RefSeq lists it as uncharacterized. The transcript is spliced from 6 exons. Lineage: Eukaryota; Viridiplantae; Streptophyta; Magnoliopsida; Solanales; Solanaceae. The record is from RefSeq and is a predicted model, not a curated record.